RNAcentral lists this ribosomal RNA (253 nucleotides) under uncultured bacterium. RNAcentral describes it as "partial 16S ribosomal RNA". It matches the Rfam family "Bacterial small subunit ribosomal RNA", at positions 524 to 776 of the family's 1533-position model. The record is from RNAcentral.
GACGUAGGGCGCGAGCGUUGUCCGGAAUCAUUGGGCGUAAAGCGCGCGUAGGCGGCCCGGUAAGUCCGUUGUGAAAGUCAAAGGCUCAACCUUUGAACGCCGAUGGAUACUGCCGGGCUAGAGUCCGGAAGAGGCGAGUGGAAUUCCUGGUGUAGCGGUGGAAUGCGCAGAUAUCAGGAGGAACACCGAUUGCGAAGGCAGCUCGCUGGGACGUUACUGACGCUGAGACGCGAAAGCGUGGGGAGCAAACAGG